RNAcentral lists this transfer RNA (132 nucleotides) under Gemmatimonadota bacterium. RNAcentral's name for it is "Gemmatimonadetes bacterium (soil metagenome) tRNA-OTHER". It matches the Rfam family "tRNA". Rfam says of the family: Transfer RNA (tRNA) molecules are approximately 80 nucleotides in length. Their secondary structure includes four short double-helical elements and three loops (D, anti-codon, and T loops). Further hydrogen bonds mediate the characteristic L-shaped molecular structure. tRNAs have two regions of fundamental functional importance: the anti-codon, which is responsible for specific mRNA codon recognition, and the 3' end, to which the tRNAs corresponding amino acid is attached (by aminoacyl-tRNA synthetases). tRNAs cope with the degeneracy of the genetic code in two manners: having more than one tRNA (with a specific anti-codon) for a particular amino acid; and 'wobble' base-pairing, i.e. permitting non-standard base-pairing at the 3rd anti-codon position. Lineage: Bacteria; Pseudomonadati; Gemmatimonadota. The record is from RNAcentral.
AUGCCCGUAGCUCAGAUGGGUAGAGCACCGAGCAGAACGGCUUCUGCCGCUCCUUGUCCGCCACGCGCGGGCCGAAGGUGGACGCUUAACGGCACUCGGCGGACGCGGGUUCGAAUCCCGCCGGGCGUUCCA